GAUUAACGCUGGCGGCGUGCAUAACACAUGCAAGUCGAACGAUGAAACUUUAAUGAACCCUUCGGGGAGAAUUAAAGCGGAUUAGUGGCGAACGGGUGAGUAACGCGUGAGUAACCUGCCUUACACAAGGGGAUAGCCUUUGGAAACGAAGAAUAAUACCCUAUAAAACCAUAAAAGCACAUGCAAUUAUGGUCAAAGUGAUAGCGGUGUAAGAUGGACUUGCGUCUGAUUAGCUAGUUGGUGAGAUAAAAGCCCACCAAGGCAACGAUCAGUAGCCGGCUUGAGAGAGUGUACGGCCACAUUGGGACUGAGACACGGCCCAGACUCCUACGGGAGGCAGCAGGGGGGAAUUUGGCACAAUGGGGGAAACCCUGAUGCAGCGACGCCGCGUGAUUUAGAAGGCCUUCGGGUUGUAAAAAUCUUUUGUAUAGGAAGAAAAUGACAGUACUAUACGAAUAAGGUCCGGCUAAUUACGUG
RNAcentral lists this ribosomal RNA (477 nucleotides) under uncultured bacterium. Its description in RNAcentral is "partial 16S ribosomal RNA". It matches the Rfam family "Bacterial small subunit ribosomal RNA", at positions 28 to 507 of the family's 1533-position model. The record is from RNAcentral.